UGGGGAAUCUUGCGCAAUGGGCGAAAGCCUGACGCAGCGACGCCGCGUGAGGGAAGAAGGCCUUCGGGUUGUAAACCUCUUUCAGGAGGGACGAAGCCACUCGGGUUAAUAGCCCAGAGGGUGACGGUACCUCCAGAAGAAGCCCCGGCUAACUACGUGCCAGCAGCCGCGGUAAUACGUAGGGGGCAAGCGUUGUCCGGAUUUGUUGGGCGUAAAGAGCGUGUAGGCGGCCUGGAAGGUCAGCUGUGAAAACUCGAGGCUCAACCUCGAGACGUCGGUUGAAACCACCUGGCUAGAGUCCGGAAGAGGAGUGUGGAAUUCCCGGUGUAGCGGUGAAAUGCGCAGAUAUCGGGAAGAACACCCGUGGCGAAGGCGGCACUCUGGGACGGUACUGACGCUGAGACGCGAAAGCGUGGGGAGCGAACAGGAUUAGAUACCCUGGUAGUCCACGCUGUAAACGAUGGGUGCUAGGUGUGGGGGGUGUCGACUCCCUCCGUGCCGAAGCUAACGCAUUAAGCACCCCGCCUGGGGAGUACGGCCGCAAGGCUAA
This 550-nucleotide ribosomal RNA is filed under the name uncultured Actinomycetes bacterium. RNAcentral describes it as "bacterial SSU rRNA". It matches the Rfam family "Bacterial small subunit ribosomal RNA", at positions 355 to 897 of the family's 1533-position model. The record is from RNAcentral. Lineage: Bacteria; Bacillati; Actinomycetota; Actinomycetes.